AGCAGCAGCCGCGGUAAUACGAAGGGUGCAAGCGUUAAUCGGAAUUACUGGGCGUAAAGCGUGCGUAGGCGGUGAGUUAAGUCUGUUGUGAAAUCCCCGGGCUCAACCUGGGAAUGGCAAUGGAUACUGGCAAGCUAGAGUGUGUCAGAGGAUGGUGGAAUUCCCGGUGUAGCGGUGAAAUGCGUAGAGAUCGGGAGGAACAUCAGUGGCGAAGGCGGCCAUCUGGGACAACACUGACGCUGAGGCACGAAAGCGUGGGGAGCAAACAGGAUUAGAGACCCGCGUAGUCCCUGUCUCUUAUAC
RNAcentral lists this ribosomal RNA (303 nucleotides) under uncultured bacterium. RNAcentral describes it as "partial 16S ribosomal RNA". It matches the Rfam family "Bacterial small subunit ribosomal RNA", at positions 507 to 807 of the family's 1533-position model. The record is from RNAcentral.